CGAACUCUUCUCUCUCUCUCUCUCUCUCCCCUUUUUCCUCUCUAUUUUUCAUCAAUUUGUUGGGGCGUUUCUGAUCCAACCCCGUCAAUACCAUUUCAAGGGGAUUGAGAUGUUGUGGAGAAAUCGAUUCAAGGGCUCGGUUUGUGCUUAAUUUGAGGCAGAGUGUGUUACAACUGAGCAUGCAUACUAUCGCCUUUGUGCGGAAUCACGCCUUCAAGUGGAAUCACGCCUUCGUGCGGAAUAAAAGAUGAUAGCGCAAUGUUGCGCAUCCUUGGGUGUGAGUUUCUAAAUUGCUACACAGGAAUGUUUAUUGCAGGGGCGAGUUGAAGCUGACUCACCCCUACGCUCACUUUCAAAGUGUCCUGUUGGUUGGCGCUUCAGCUUGCCCUAUGCUAACAGCCUUCGAGCUGGAUAUCAGUUUGGAUCUCUAACUCGCCCAUGCUUCUUUGGCCUCUGUGAAGGAUUAUUGCUUGUUUUUUAUAACAUCGAAUACCUGUUAGUUCUUUCAAAUGUUGCAUAUGAUAUGGCAAAAACUUGUACAUAAACUUAGGCAUCCAUCAUCCAGAUGAUGAGAUACACUGACAUAUUAUUGUUAUAAAAGGCUAACCUUGCAGGGAAUCCUAUACAGUUAGAAAACCGAUCGGUAAGCAAUCAUUUAUGCUUAGUCCUUCUGAUCCUUUCUUUGCGUGCAACAUAUCUUGCUUUCAGUAGUUUAUGCAAGCAAAAAGUAAUGUUAAAAUUGAGCUGAAGAAUAUUAAACUUGAGAGUGGCAUACCAACAAAUAAGUGUCUUGGUUUUGUGACUUUAUAUACACAUGUUCAUGUUAUAGCAAUCACAUGAUGGGAUUGCAAUAAAUGGACUUGGAGAAGGUUUCCUUGAAUAAAAUGAGCCAGAUCUUUGAAGCAAUAAAAAAUAGCGUUCUGUGCAGUAUUCGAUUAAUAAUAAGAGGCUUGGGAUUUUUGAAAGUUUGUUGUUCAAAAUUUUAU
Morus notabilis is the source of this 986-nucleotide long non-coding RNA. RefSeq lists it as uncharacterized. The transcript is spliced from 3 exons. The record is from RefSeq and is a predicted model, not a curated record. NCBI's taxonomy places the organism in Eukaryota, Viridiplantae, Streptophyta, Magnoliopsida, Rosales, Moraceae.